CUGAAUUGAUGCCAGCUGUUGAGGCCACCUGUCUUUCUUCAAUCUUCAUUUUUUCAUUUUUCUCUUUUCAAUAUUUAUGUCGGAAACAUUCUUCUUCUUCAUAAUACAACUUGUGCUAUCUUUCAUCUCUAAUGGAUUGCCAUCAGCUGUAAUUCCAACACCCCCCUCGGAGGAACGAACACCCAAUUUGCAUAACAGAAGAUGGUGAGAGGUACCUGUGAGUGGCUUAGUAAAAAGAUUUCGAGCUGGGAAGACGAAGGGAGAAGUGAUAAAGAAAUCAAACUAGCAAGAUAUUGUUGUCGAACAAAGUGGCAAUCUAAGUCAACAUGCUUCGUCCGUUCAUGAAAAACAGGAUUUUUAGCGAUAUGAAUUGUUGCCUGGCUAUCGGAAUGAAGAGAAAUGGGUAGACAAGGAGGCAGUGUAAGAUCCGAAAUAAGAUGGACGAGACAUGUUAACUCAGCAACAACACGACGCAUAGACCUAUACUCUGCUUCGGCAGAGGAAAGUGAAAGAAAAGGUUGCUUUUUCGAUUUCCAAGAAAUUGAACUACCACCGAGGCUAAUGUAGAAACCACUGACCGACUUGCGAGAGUCAGGACAACUGGACCAUUCAGAGUCACAAAAAGCCAAUAAGGUGAAAUAUAGGGAAGAAUUAAGGAAAAUCCCUAAGCCAGGGUCAGAAAGAAGAUACCGAAGGACAUGAUAAGCAGCCAAGAGAUGGGCGUGAUGAGGGCGUUGCAUAUAUUGGCUAAGAUGCUGAACGGAAAAGGAGAUGUCAGGCCGUGUGUGAGUGAGAAAGUUGAGUUAUCCAAUAAGGCGGCGAUAACUAGUGACAUCAGAAAGGGGACAACCCAUAUCAGAUUGUAAUUUCAGGGAGGGAUCCAAAGGGGAAAGAGCGGGUUUAAGUCCAAGGCACUGAUAUUCGGAAAAGAGCUCCAAGAUGAACUUGCGUUGAUUAAGAAUCAAACCAUGUGGUUCCCUGAUAACUUCAAUACCCAAAAAAUAAUGUAAGUCUCCCAAAUCUUUGAUUUUAAAUUCUUAGUCCAAGAAUGAUUUUAGAGCAUCUAGUUCUGCCUUGUUGUCGCAUGUAACUAGAAUGUCAUCAACGUAGACGGCUAGGAUGGGAAUGGAUGAAUCAUGACACUUGUAAAAUAGUGAAUAAUCAUUGAGUGAGUGAGUAAAGCCUUUAAACUACAAGGCUAAAGUCAGACGAGCAUACCACUGUCGUGAGGCCUGUUUUAGUCCGUAAAGAGACUUCUUUAGACGACAAACUUGAGUAUGAUCAUCUACUUUCAAACCAGCUGUAAAAUUUCAUGCAGACUUCCUCAUCUAACUCACCAUGAAGAAAUGUGUUAUUAACGUCUAAUUGAUAUAACCCCACCCCUUCUUAAUGGCAAUAGCAAGCAAACAACGUAUUGUAGUAAUCUUGACGACAGGGCUGAAUGUUUUUGUAAAAUCAAUGACAUCUUUUUAAAAAUCACCUCGUACAACCAACCUAGCCAUUAAUCUCUCGACAGUACCAAGAGAAUUGAGCUUAACUUUGUAUACCCAUUUAGUAGGCAAAGCUUUCUUUCCCGGAGGUAAUGAGACCACGUCCCAAGUGUUGUUACUGAUCAAAGCCUCUAGCCCUUAAUCAUAGAAUCCUUCCAACCCGGAUAUAAAAUAGCUUGGGUAAAAGAAGUAGGUUAUUGAAUAUGGGAUAAAUAAGUGAUAUAAUUCUGGUUAGAGUGAGAUAAUGCAGAGAAAGCGAAAAGAGAAACAGGUGAAGGGGAAGAUAAACAAAUAUCAAACACAGGAGAAAGAUGGACACUGUUGCAAACAUAAUCUUGUAGGUAGGCUGCAGUCUUAACAGAUCUAGUGGAUUUUCGUAAAACAAUAGGAUCUGGAGAAUAAAUAGAAGAAGUAGAAACAAGGGAAUGGGAUACAGAAAUAACAGGAACAGGAGCAGCAGAUGUAUGAGAUGAAAAAUCAGGCUCAUAAAAAACUUGAGGAAUGUCAAAAGGAAACAGAGAAACAAGGGGCUGAAUAGCAGCAAACGGGUAAAUGUCUUCAUGGAGUUUUACAUCCCUCGAAAUAAAACACUUCUGAGAAAUGAGACUUAACAAUUUGUAACCUUUUUUGCCAAAAGGAUAUCCAAGAAAAACACAAGGCUCGGCCCUUGGUGCUAAUUUAGAUCUUCCUUGGGAAAGAGUAGAGGCAAAAGGAAGACACCCAAAACACUUUAAAUGAGAGUAACAAGGAGGAUAAUGAAACAAUCUUUCAUAAGGUGUUUUGAAAAAGAACAACUUAGUGGGGCACCUAUUAAUAAAGUAAGUGGUUGUCAUAAGAGCAUCCCCCAAAAUUUAUGUGGGAGAUGGGACUGAAAAAGAAGGGAUCGACAUAUUCCUAAUAAAUGUUUGUGUUUUCUGUCAGCCACACCAUUUUGUUGUGGUGUGGCGACACAAGAGGUUUGAUGAAUGAUCCCUUUGGAGGAUAGGAAUUUAGAAUUAUCAAAACUGGCACCUAAUUCCCAAGCAUUAUCCGAUCUAAUGAUUUUGAUUUUUUUUUUGAAAUUGUCUUUCUAUCAUAGCAAGGAAGGACUUAAGAAUGGUGAAUGCAUUGAUUUUAGUGGUUAGCAAAAAAGUCCAAGUUCCUCUACUAAUGUCAUCUACGAUGGUCAAAACAUAUGGAUAUCCAUCAUAAGUAGGUGUUUGAAAAGGCCCCCAUGAAUAAAUAUUAAUUAAGUCAAAAAUUUGUUUAGAAGAAAUAUGACUUGUGGGAAAAGGGAGUUUGUGUUGUCUUGCUAAGGGGAAAAUAGAACAUGGCACAAAAAACUUAAAAACAACAGAAACUGGAAUUUCAUUUAUAUGCUGAAUAUUUAAAAGAGGGAUAUGACCCAAUCUUACAUGCCAUAAUCUACUUUUAACAUCAUUAGAAGAAAUACAAGAUAAAGUGGAUGUAACAUCCUUGAAGGAAUGAGAACUACAACUGGAAUUUAUAAGAGAAAGAGCAGCUGGAAGCCUAUUCUUGAGGACAUAGAGACCAUUCCGAUUUUCACCAAGGAGCAUUGGGCUCUUCAUGUAAGGGCCCUGCAUGAAACAAUGAGAAGAGGUAAAAAUUAACAUCUUAGAAAGUUGUUUGCACAACAAAUGGACAAACAACAGGUUGAAGUGAAAACUGGCACAAAUAAAACAUUGUGAAUGAUAAGAUUAGAGAAAAGUUUCACAGAACUUGAAUGUGAGACCUCAACCCUUUGGGAAUUAGGCAAAUUAACACAAAUUGAUUUAGGCAAAGGUUCAAAAUUGAAGAAGAAAUCCUUGUUAUAGCUUAUGUGUUCACUUGCACCUGAGUCUAUUAUCCAAGUUUGCCUAGUGUAGUUGGUAGGAUCAACCUGUAAAUUUAAAGAAAAAGGACUAGGAAAUAGAGUUAUACCAGCACAAUUAGCAGAUGUUGUGACUUCAGAGACAUUGUUGCUUUGAUCAUUGUUUUUCAUAUUUUGGAGCAUUUGCAUCACCUGUGCUAAUUGGUCAAUUGAGAGUAAUUUUCCUUGUUCUGUUAAGUCGACAUCAGCCAUAAGAGAAUUUCCAGAAAACUCAUUUGAGGUGACAGCAUGUCCCUGAACAGAAUUCUUAAAAUUUUUCUGCCUAGUAAAUUUAAAAUUAGGUGGAAAGCCAUGUAGGUUAUAGCAUUUCUCAAUAAGAUGCCCUGCUUUAUUACAAUACUUGCAUAAAAGAGUUGAUCUCUUAGCAUCAUAAGGAACUCUCUGACCCCUGAAAUCAGUAGAAAAAGAUCUUUGACUAGCAUUUGUUUAACUUAUCGCAAUAAAAGAAGAGGAUUCUCCAGGAAAUUUUGGGAUAUUUUGCAACUCCCUUUGCUUCUCCUCCUGAAUCAAUAGUGCAUAAGCAUUUGAAAUAGAGGGUAAGGGUGAGAUCACGAGUAUGUUACCUCUGGCAGCACAAUAAGACUCAUGGAGUCCCAUUAAAAAGUGAACUAGACGUUGAUCUUGUUUAGCCUUAAUGUUUUUCUCUUUUGCUCCACAGGAACACACACAAGAUCAAAUAGUAAAAGAGUCUAAAGUAUCCAAUUCAUCCUAGAGUCGCUUAAUCCUGGUAUAGUAAGCAGUAAUAUCAGAUGACCCUUGGACAAGGUCACUCAGUUCCUUUUGAAGCUGGAAAAGACGAGGGUCAGAGCUCUGACCAAACCUGUCUUCUAAUUCUACCCAAAUAUCUUUAGCAGUGGAGUAAUACAAGACACUUUCAUAAAUUUCUCUAGAAAGAGAGUUCAAUAACCAAGAAAUUACCAUGUUGUUAGAUCUGGACCAAGCUCGAUGUAGGUUUGUUCCUACUUUAGGUUCCACAGUCGAUCCAUUAAUGAAACCUAUUUUGUUCUUAGUAGUUAAGGCUAUCCACAUCCUUCUCUUCCAUCCACCAAAGCUCUGGCCAUCAAAAAUUGUAUCGGCUAGCAAAGUACCAGGAGAAUCAGAAGGUGAUAUGAAGUAAGGAUGAGCAGGGUUAAUCAAUUCAGAAGAGGGUAUAUUGACAGUAGGAAGGGGAACUGUAGUCCCAGUAGCUAUUUCAGAGGUUUCUACCAUGAUAAAACUGAGGGAAAAAUAGAGAUUAGAGCUCUUGCUCUGAUACCAUGAAUGAAUAAACGAAGAAAGAUUGAGAUGAAAUUUUCUGUGUAUCUUAUUUCUGCAUAGCAAGAGUAUAUAUAGGAAAUACAAGGAAUCAAAACCUAACAAACUAACAGAUGUCCUACUUUAAUUGGCUAACUUGUAACAAACUAUUAUUUACAAUAAACAAACAAUUAUUUACAAUUAAUUAAACAUAAAAGAGAUAAUAUUUACAGAAAGAAAAUGUGGAAGGUUCUGAAUUGAUGCUAGCUGUUGAGGCCACCUGUCUUUCUUCAAUCUUCAUUUUUUCAUUUUUCUCUUUUCAUUAUCGAUGUCAGAAACAUUCUUCUUCUUCAUAAUACAACUUGUGCUAUCUUUCAUCUCUAAUGGAUUUCCAUCAGCUGUAAUUCCAACAACAUGACAAUUUUUCUUUCUACUUACAAAUUUUCCCCAUUUAUCAGCUAUAUUACAAUUUUCUGUGGCAAGUCAACUUUUUAUAUCUUCUAAUAGCUAAAUGGUACAGUAUUGUAGAUGUCAAAUGUUCCUCGUUUCACCAUGGUGUCAUAUAUUGCUUAUUUCUUCGUGAUAAAGUCCAAGCGCAGACGGCAUAGACACACAAUGAUCAUCAACAAAAAUGGAACAAGAUGCAAAAUUAGAGAAAACGAAAAGGAAAAAACAACUGAAAUAUAAAUUGUACUGAUAUUUUUGCUACAAUGUAGAUAGAUAUGGCACUAACCAUAUUGACAAGUCUCAGAGCUGCAAGCCGUGUGAAUUGUUACCCAAUCAGUGUUUGAAAAAUAGAAUUACUAAUUCUGACAAAACUUUUCAGAAACAAGAAGUACCCAAAGUAUACUGAAUCUGUACGAGAGAUGAACAUAAAUUAAAUAAAAGAAAUAAAAUAUGUAACGUACCACAAUCUGAAUUUUAUUUGAAUAGAAAAUGAAACAAGUCCACUAAACUCACAAUAUGCCCUUAAGGAAAUUAUUCCCCCCUAGUAUCCGAGGUUUCAUUUGGAAAAUGUCCUCUCAGGGUAAAAUGAUUUCAAUCACUAGCGUAUAGAUAUCGAAAACUCUGGUGUCAGCGAACCACUCAACAGUAGUAAAAUACACGAAGUAAUUUUUAUGCAGAAGAAGAAGAAGAGAUCAGAAAAAAUCAUAAGGAAAUUAUGAAGAGUGAAUGAUAUUUAUAGGGAAGAGGAAUAGGUUCUGAAAUGUUACAACCCUUUCAAGAAUCCACACAACCAUUAAUGAAAGUUUGCAACCUUUCAAAUGGUAAUGAUUAUUCCUGAAAGUUACAACAUUUCAAAUGGUAAUGAUUGUUCCUGAAAGUUGCAACCUUUUAGAACAGUCAUUUCCUAACAGUGGAAAAUUUACAUAAAAGAGGAAAGUUUUUAGAUCAAACAGGUCGCGCGCGGAUCCGAGUUGGGUCGAGUUAAUCAACUAAAAAAUUGAAAAUGUUUCCGUUACCAACCAAUUAAUUAAAAACAUUUUGGCCAUUUCAUUUAAUUAAUUAAUUUAAUAAUUAAAACAAAAUUUGUCCAAAUAAAUAAUCUCUCGAUAGAUCAAUUUCCAAAGCCAUAGCCGAAGCCAUAGUUGUAGCCGAAGCCGAGCUGAGCCGAGCCGAGCAAGCAACGACUACGACGGUGCGAGGGGGGUCCCUCUUUCCAGUCCUUUUAACAAUUAAUAGAAGUAUUUCUAUAUUUAAACUCUCCUAAGUUUCUUUCCACCACUGAUAAGGGAAAAAUGCCUUUUCAUUAAAGCACAAGAGGACUUUGCAAGUUCCCAACUCUUCAAGUUCUCAACUUUUCAAGUUCUCCUCUUUCCCUCUAUUUCCCAUCAAUUCUUGCUACAUACCCAACGAUCCCCCACAUUGAUAGAGAAUGAUUAUAACGUAGGAAUGCACAGACAAGUGUGUACUUUACGGGCAAGGAUUAAUUGAUCUUGAUAGGUAGGUUUCUCCUUGGACUUUCCGUAGUGAACAUAUGUCGGAUAUACUCGGUCAAUCAGUAGAUGCGAUAUCUUUGAACCGUCGAGCUUUGGUGUAUACCUAGACAACCAUAUGUCACACAAUUAACCCUUAAUUAUUUAUGGUUCUUACGGUUGUGUUCGUUUCAGCCAUAAACACCUCAUGGUUUUAUGAGUGUAUAAAGAAUAGGAUUUUGACAUAAAAUUCUCUGUAGCGACUUACAAUUCACACUCAAAUAGGUGAUUUCUAACUGUGUCAUCUCGUAGAUACACUAUUUGGUCAUUUCUACCAAACUCAGCAUACUAUUAAAAACUUUACGCUUUAUUACCUCAUUAACAAGACUUAAAGAUUUAACCAUGUUCUUGAACAUUGUCUUCAUCAUGAGAAUGGAUUCAGUUAAUUGACAAUGUCGAACUGUCAGCCACAACUUUUUUUUUCUCCUUGAAUCUACUGCUUGGGAUCUCCAGUCUGCUAGAUAGAGUUACCGUCAUGUUGAUUUGUCCUAAGCCGUAAACCCAUUUCCUUAUAUGGUCUUUCAACUACCUCUCUUACUAGGUCUUUUGUUAGUGGAUCUGACAAAUUAUCACUUGACUUUACAUAGUCAACUGUAAUAAUUCCACUAGAGAGCAGUUGUCUUAAGCUGUUAUGUCUCCUUCGUAUAUGAAGAGACUUUCCGUUGUACAUGACGCUCCCUACCCUACCUAUUGCUGCUUGACUAUCGCAAUGUAUGCAAAUAGAUCCAACAAGUUAAGGCUAGAAUGGAAUAUCUCUAGGAAUUUCUGGAGCCAUUCAACUUCUUCACCAGCCUUAUCCAAAGCGAUGAAUUCAGAUUCCAUUGUGGAGAGAACAAUACAUGUUUGUUUGGAGGAUCACCAUAUCCUUCAAUCACAUCAGGAUAUUUAUUAUAAUUCAAAGCAUAGUGUGUGUAUAUUUCAGAUACCCCAACACACGUUUCAUUGCCAUCUAGUGAUUUUGAUUCCAGUGAACCGACUGAUUUUGUUAAUAACACAUUCUAUAUCUGGACGUGUACAAUUCAAAAUAUACAUCAAACUUCCCAAUACUUUGACAUAUUCAAAUUGAAAGUCACUUUGGCCUGCAUUCUUUUGAAAUGUACAACUUAAACCAAUUGGAGUUAUGACAACAUUGAAAUUCAAGUAAUUUAACUUAUCCAAUACUCUUUCAAUAUAAUGAGAUUGAGAUAGUGCUAGUCCCUGGGUAGUUUUUAUAAUCCUGACCUUUAAGAUCAAAUCAACAACUUCUAAGUCCUUCAUAUCGAACUUGAUGGACAACAUGUGCUUAGUAUCAUUUAUAUUGUCAAUGGAUUUACUCAUUAUUAACAUGUCAUCAACAUGUGAACAAACAAUGACUUCAUGAUUCAUAACGUUUUUAAUGUAAACACGUUUAUCACAUUCGUUAAUCUUAAAUCUAUUUGUCAACAUUGUUUGGUCAAAUUUAGCAUGCCAUUGUUUGGGUGCUUUAUUGAGCCCAUAAAGUGGCUUCACAAGUCUGCACACUUUCUCUUCUUUACUAGGAACUACAAACCCUUCAAGUUGUUCCAUAUAAAUUUCUUCCUCCAACUCUCAAUUUAAGAAAGCUGUCUUUACAUCUAUUUGGUGGAUUUUAAGAUCAUGCACUGUUGCUAGUGCUAUUAACAUCCUAAUUGAUGUUAUCCUUGUUACUGGAGAGUAUAUGUCAAAGUAGUCCAUACCUUCCUUUUUUCUGUGCCCUUUGACUAUCAGUCUAGCCUUCUAUUUUUCAAUAGUCCCAUCAGGUUUCAUUUUCCUUUUAAAGAUCCACUUUGAUCGUAAAGGUUUAUUUCUUGGAGGAAGAUCAGCCAAUUCCCAAGUGUGGUUACUUAAAAUUGAUUCGUUCUCACUAUUGACUGCUUCUUCAAGUUAACUCAUACGAAGACAUAGUUGCUUUAAAUGUCUGAGGCUCAUUAUCAAGUAAUAGUUCCACAAAAUUUGGUCCAAAAGAAGCAAGUUUCCAUUGGCGAGUACUACACCUAGAAUCCUUACUAUAUAGUGUAUUUUCCGUUGAUUCUUUGCAUUGUCGUUUAGGUCUUUCAUUUGUCGACUCGUAUUCAAUUUUUUACAGACAAAUGUUUUCAAAAACUCUAAGUUAUAUGACUCAAUUAUUGUAUUAACAUGAAUCUCAGGAUUAUCAAAUUUGUGAACCAAAAAUCAAAGGCCUUACUGUUCACAACAUACCCAAUAAAUAUACAGUCUACUAUUUUGGGUCAAAUUUUAACCCUCUUUGGAAUAAGAACUUCUACGUUGGCUAAACACUCGCACACUUUGAAAUAUUUCAAGUUGGAUUUCCUUUCUUUCCACAACUCAUAUGAAAUUGAUUGUGUUUUUCGAUUGGGUACUCUAUUGAGUAUCUUAUUAGCCGUAACGAUAGCUUCCCCCCAAAGGUUUCACGGUGAAAUAUAAUUGAUCAUCAAGGCAUUCAUCAUUUCCUUUAAUGUUCUGUUCUUCCGUUCUGCCAAACCAUUUGACUAUGGUGUAUAGGGUGCAAUAGUUUGAUGAAUAAUACCAUAUUCCAAACAUAUCUCUGCAAAAGGAGAUUCAUAUUCUCCACUCAUAUCACUUCGAAUCAUUUUUAUCUUUAGAUUCAAUUGGUUCUCCAUUUAAAUUUUUUAUUGCUUACAUGCAUCAAUUGCUUCAUCCUUAAUAUUAAGCAAAUAUACAUAAUAAUAGAAUGCAAUCAUCAAUAAAAGUUAUAAAAUACUUUUUUCCACCACGAGAUGAUGCCAAUUUCAUAUCGCAUAUAUUUGUGUGAAUUAAGUCUAAAGUUUUGGAAUUUCUUUCAACAGACUUAUAAGGAUGUAUAAUAAACUUACUUUCCACAUAAAUUUACAAUUUUGAUUUAUCGCGUUUAAAAUUAGGCAAUACUUCUAGAGUAACAAAUUUUUGCAAGGCUUUGUAAUUUACAUGUCCUAGAAGGGCAUAUGCCAAAAAUCAUUUGACUCCAAUAAGUAAACAGUACCAGAAUUCUUAUUAAUAUUGUCAACAACCAUUACAUUCAGUAUGAAAACACCCUCAUUGAGGUAGUCCUUUCCUAUGAAUAUGUAAUUCUUACUUAUACCCAUUCAUAACGAGUAGUGUAGCAGAAACUAAAUUCUUCCUAAUAGUAGGGCCAUGCAGAACACUGUUCAAAGUGAACACCUUUUUGAAUGUCAUUUUUAACAUUACUUUCCAAGUUCCUGCAAUCCUUGCUAUUGUGUUUCCCCUGAAAAAAUGUUUAUCGUACUAAGCAAGAGGGUAUGUUGCAAAGGUUUCUUUCGCAGAUAAAAUAUGUCGAGUGGAACCUGAGCCAACAAACCACUCCUUAGGAUUUCCGACUAAGUUACGCUCAGAGAUCAUCGCACACAAGUCAUAUGUAUCUUCCAUAUCUUCCACGAUUUUUUCUUGACUUUUGGCUUUGCCUUUGUCUUUGUCCUUUUGUUGGAGCACAACAAUCAGAAGGCCUAUGACAAACCUUACCACAUUGUAAUAGUUGCCUUUGAAUUUGUUCUUGGCCUGUUCUGACUUCUGCCCAUUGGACUUCUUUCUCUUUUUGUCUUUGGUAGGAGCUUCUUCAACAAUAUUAACUCCAAUGAUUGUUGAACUCUUACGAGACUUCUAUUCAGCAGUUUUGUUAUAUUCCUCAAUCUAGAGCCGAAUCACAAGAUCUUCAAGCUUCUUUUCUUUACACUUGUGCUUUAGAUAAUUCUUUAAUUCGUUUCACAAAGAGGCAACUUCUCAAUCAUUGCAGCAUUUCAAAAACUUCAUUUACUACCAUAUAUUCAGCAAUCAUAUCAUGGAGAAUAAGUUGAAGUUCCUGCACUUAUGAUCCAACAGUUUUACUAUCUACCAUUUUUUUGUCCAAAAACUUUGCGACCACAAACUUUUUAAGCAUGCAUCUUCAAUCUUAUAUUUUUUUCUCAAGUGCAUCCCAUAAAUCUUUUGAAGUUAUCAUUGCACUAUAGACAUUAUAUAAGUCAUUCUCUAAAGAACUCAAAAUGUAGCAUUUACGUAGGAAGUCUGCCUGUUUCCAUACUUCAAUAAUCAUGAAUUUUUUCUGUCUAGCUUAUCACCAGCAGGCACUGGAGUUUCCUCACUGGUAAUUUUCUGUAGACAAAGAGCGGUAGGCCAGAAAAAUACCCGUUGCUGCCAUCCUUUGAAAUUUACACUAGUAAAUUAUCCGGUUUCUCUACUUGUGGUACAACAGUUUGAGUUUGUGCAGCAACAAACACUCUAACACCGUUGUUUGCCAAUUCUCAUGAAAAAAAUAGAUACAGCCUUAGUAAGUAAUAACAUAUAAUUGCAGACUUUAAGGAGCAUAAAAUCAUAAAGAUUUAUGUCUCACUAGAAACACAUAUUGAUAAUAAUAAAUAAUUUCCUUAAGAUUGUUGCCCAAUUUGUGUUUAAAAAAUAGCAUUACUGAUUCUGAAAAAACUUUGCAGAAAUACGAAGUAACCAAAAUUUACUGAAUUAGAACGAGAGAUGAACAUAAAUUAAUUUUAAAGAAUUACAAUCUUUAAUGUACCAGAAUCUAGACAAAUUCGAACAGAAAAAGAGCAAGUCCACUAAACUCACAAUGUCCCUUAAGGAAAUUAUUCCCUCAAUUAUCCGAGUCGGGUCGUAUGUAACACAAUUUAUUCAAAACAUACCAAAAAUCAGUUUUUCAAAAAAUCUGCCGGUGCAAUCGACGGACCAUAGGCUGACCCACGAUUCGUCCUCCACAUCUGUUGAUUGAGUUUGAAACCCCAAAAAUCCCAGCCUAGAAAAAUUUGACGAAGUGUCGAACGACAGACGGACCUAUGGUCUAUAGGUCAUAUUACGAUCCGUAGUCUUUGUCUAUCGGUCAACACGCCAUUUACCCACUCUCUGACAUGAAUAACGAUUGACCAGUACGGUCCAUACAUAGACCUUUGGACCAUAGGUUAAAAUUAGUAGACAGUUAGGGGGGAAAUACAGUUAGGUUGACUUUAAAUGGUCAUAACUCUUAGCACAAAAUAAAUUAGGUGUCCCAUGAUAUACCAAAAGAUAGAUAAUUGAAUUAGCUUUCCAUAUAUACUGAUCUUGCUAAAAUCAAACCUCUGAGUAAAAAGAUAUGAUCGUUUUAGUAAAGGCCUCUUGAAUAGACCCAACCUAUGGACCCAAACGACGGAUCGUCAGUCCUGGUUGUCACUUGAUUCGACAUCAAUUAACUCAGGGGUCUUUUGGUCUUUUCCCACUUCAUUUAAAUCCUAAGAUAUGUCAUUUUGAUCCUAAUCAGAUCUAGAAACAUAACUAAAACUUACCUAAGUCAAAUCAUUAAUCAAAACUUAGAACAUUAGAAGCAAUAAAGGAGAAAAAGGUCAGGAACCCUAGUUCAAGAACGCAACAAGGUUCCAGCAGUUCAAACCCCAAAAUCUAAGUGUUUCUCCGUGAAUUUCAUCACUAGGUAUGUGGGAUUUCAAUAGUGGCUUCCUUUCACCCAUUGGGUCCUAGUUUUCAAUCAGUUCAUGAUUCUAUUAUCAUUAUUAAACCUAGGGUUUCUAUAUCUACAACAUAUCAUCAUAAAUUAGUUAAAUAUAUGUUCCAAAUUAAAUUGUUAAGUUAUUAUUCAGUUUAUCGCUUGAAUUUCAAAAUCCUAACUACGUAUUUCUUUAGAUCCUUAAUUACUCAUGCUAGGUCAGAUAUUUCAGUUACUUCCGAUAUAGAUGCCUUAGUUAUAAAUGCAUAAUUACCAGAUUAGUUGUUGCAUGUUCAAUUUUGAGUUAUCCAAUAUUUACAUAAACUCAUUCAUAAUCAAUUAAGUACAUAUUUCAUUGGGAGUAUCAUAAUAUCGAGUUGGACUUGGGUUAGGUUGUAAGUUCCCUUUGUGGGCAAUCAGUUUAGUGAUCACGCCAGCAUGCCUUUAUACCUCUGGCAAGGUAUAUUGGGUCCUCUCAUUGGGUGUAUAUAUCGGACUCCAUAUUUAGAUCAUGUGGUUUUAUUAUCAGUUAUUAGUAGCUCCCACAGUUCAGUCAGACUCUAUUGCAUUGACCAUUUAUCAUUAUAUUCAGUAUUCAGUUCCAGCAUGUUAUAAAUUGGUCAUUGCAUUCAGUAUAUCAUGUUCAAAUUAUUAUAAUUGCUUUUGUGCUUGUUCCAUUAUGUUUUAUUUCAUCUUUACUCUAUCCUACAUGCUCAGUACCUUAAAGUAUUGAUGCAUACUUGUGCUACAACUUCUCGUGAUGUAGGUUCAGAUUCUCAGCAUCCAGAUCACACAUAGAUCGAUUAUCGAUCCCCAGUUCUGCAGAUUCAGUGUUGAGCCCUCAUUCUUCAAAGACAAUAGACAUGAGUUCAUUUCAGUAUUUUUGUCAUUUAGUUUCAGUUUUUUCUAGACUUAGCAGGGGUUUGUCUCCGUAUUUCUAGUCAAAUAUAGGAUUAUUUCAGACAUAGUUAGUUUCAGCCUAGAAGUGAGUUAAUAUUUUCUUUGUAUUAAACUCCUCAAUUUUCAUAUGUCUUAGUUUAAGCAUAUGGGUAUUCCCCAACUUUUCAUUUUAAGUAUGAUUUAGCUUCCUCAACAGUUUAUAUUUUUAUGUAUGGUCAUGAUCAUGCCAGCAGGGUUAGCUUGGGAUCACUUGUGGUCCUUGGUCCCGUGUACGAGUCUUGGGGAUAGCUCGGGGUGUGACAGUUUUGGCCAUUUAAUUUAAAUAAUUAAAACUGUAGCUGAAGCCAAGCAAGCGACGACAACGGCGCUAGGGUGUCCAUCUUUUCAACCAUUUUAACAAAUAAUAGGAGUGUUUCUAUAUUUAAACUCUCUAUUUUUCUUUCCACCACCGAUGAGAGACAAAUGCCUUUUUAUUAAAGCAUAAGAAAAAUUUUC
RNAcentral lists this long non-coding RNA (13395 nucleotides) under Solanum lycopersicum (tomato). RNAcentral describes it as "long non-coding RNA (SLYC_LNC000128)". The record is from RNAcentral. Lineage: Eukaryota; Viridiplantae; Streptophyta; Magnoliopsida; Solanales; Solanaceae.